Molecule: microRNA precursor, 75 nt
Filed under: Caenorhabditis japonica
Lineage: Eukaryota; Metazoa; Nematoda; Chromadorea; Rhabditida; Rhabditidae
Description: mir-72 microRNA precursor family
Rfam family: mir-72 microRNA precursor family
Source: Rfam by way of RNAcentral
GCUAGGCAAGAUGUUGGCAUAGCUGAACUAAAACCGCCGGCGUCAGGUAUCAGCUUCGCCACAUUCUGCCAAGCG